AUUGAACGCUGGCGGCAGGCCUAACACAUGCAAGUCGAGCGGAUGAAGGGAGCUUGCUCCUGGAUUCAGCGGCGGACGGGUGAGUAAUGCCUAGGAAUCUGCCUGGUAGUGGGGGAUAACGUCCGGAAACGGGCGCUAAUACCGCAUACGUCCUGAGGGAGAAAGUGGGGGAUCUUCGGACCUCACGCUAUCAGAUGAGCCUAGGUCGGAUUAGCUAGUUGGUGGGGUAAAGGCCUACCAAGGCGACGAUCCGUAACUGGUCUGAGAGGAUGAUCAGUCACCGUGAAACUGAGAGACGGCCCAGACCCCCAGGGGGGGCAGGAGGGGGGAAUAGGGGACAAGGGGCGAAACCCUUAUCCAGCCAUGCCGCGUUGGGGAAGAAGGUUUUCGGAUUGUAAAGCCCUUUAAGUUGGGAGGAAGGGAAGUAAGUUAAUACCUUGUUUUUUUGCCGUGACAAAAAGAAAAAGCCCCGGCAAACGUCG
RNAcentral lists this ribosomal RNA (482 nucleotides) under uncultured bacterium. Its description in RNAcentral is "partial 16S ribosomal RNA". It matches the Rfam family "Bacterial small subunit ribosomal RNA", at positions 29 to 505 of the family's 1533-position model. The record is from RNAcentral.